This 253-nucleotide ribosomal RNA is filed under the name uncultured bacterium. RNAcentral's name for it is "partial 16S ribosomal RNA". It matches the Rfam family "Bacterial small subunit ribosomal RNA", at positions 524 to 776 of the family's 1533-position model. The record is from RNAcentral.
UACGGGGGGGGCAAGCGUUGUUCGGAAUUACUGGGCGUAAAGGGCGUGUAGGCGGCCAACUAAGUCCGACGUGAAAUCCCCAGGCUUAACCUGGGAACUGCGUCGGAUACUGGAUGGCUUGAAUCCGGGAGAGGGAUGCAGAGUUCCUGGUGUAGCGGUGAAAUGCGCAGAUAUCAGGAAGAACACCCGUGGCUAAGGCGGCUCUCUAGUACGGUACUGACGCUGAGACGCGAAAGCAUGGGGAGCGAACAGG